GAUGAACGCUGGCGGCGUGCCUAAUACAUGCAAGUCGAGCGAACAGAUAAGGAGCUUGCUCCUUUGACGUUAGCGGCGGACGGGUGGGUAACACGUGGAUAACCUACCUAUAAGACUGGGAUAACUUCGGGAAACCGGAGCUAAUACCGGAUAACAUAUUGAACCGCAUGGUUCAAUAGUGAAAGGCGGCUUUGCUGUCACUUAUAGAUGGAUCCGCGCCGUAUUAGCUAGUUGGUAAGGUAACGGCUUACCAAGGCAACGAUACGUAGCCGACCUGAGAGGGUGAUCGGCCACACUGGAACUGAGACACGGUCCAGACUCCUACGGGAGGCAGCAGUAGGGAAUCUUCCGCAAUGGGCGAAAGCCUGACGGAGCAACGCCGCGUGAGUGAUGAAGGUCUUCGGAUCGUAAAACUCUGUUAUCAGGGAAGAACAAAUGUGUAAGUAACUGUGCACAUCUUGACGGUACCUGAUCAGAAAGCCACGGCUAACUACGUG
RNAcentral lists this ribosomal RNA (497 nucleotides) under uncultured bacterium. RNAcentral's name for it is "partial 16S ribosomal RNA". It matches the Rfam family "Bacterial small subunit ribosomal RNA", at positions 28 to 507 of the family's 1533-position model. The record is from RNAcentral.